UGGGGAAUAUUGGACAAUGGGCGAAAGCCUGAUCCAGCUACGCCGCGUGUGUGAUGAAGGCCCUAGGGUUGUAAAGCACUGUUGUAGGGGAAGAAUAAAAUGACGGUACCCUAUGUAGAAAGCACCGGCUAACUCCGUGCCAGCAGCCGCGGUAAUACGGAGGGUGCAAGCGUUGCUCGGAAUUACUGGGCGUAAAGGGUGCGCAGGCGGUUCUUUAAGUCAGAUGUGAAAGCCCAGGGCUCAACCCUGGAACUGCAUCUGAAACUGGAGGACUUGAGUAUGAGAGAGGAAAGCAGAAUUCCUGGUGUAGAGGUGAAAUUCGUUGAUAUCAGGAGGAAUACCGGCGGCGAAGGCGGCUUUCUGGCUCAUAACUGACGCUCAUGCACGAAAGUGUGGGUAGCAAACAGG
This 408-nucleotide ribosomal RNA is filed under the name uncultured bacterium. Its description in RNAcentral is "bacterial SSU rRNA". It matches the Rfam family "Bacterial small subunit ribosomal RNA", at positions 355 to 776 of the family's 1533-position model. The record is from RNAcentral.